GACGUAGGGGGCCAGCGUUGUUCGGAAUUAUUGGGCGUAAAGAGCUCGUAGGCGGUUUGUCACGUCUGCUGUGAAAUCCCGAGGCUCAACCUCGGGCCUGCAGUGGGUACGGGCAGACUGGAGUGCGGUAGGGGAGAAUGGAAUUCCUGGUGUAGCGGUGGAAUGCGCAGAUAUCAGGAGGAACACCGAUGGCGAAGGCAGUUCUCUGGGCCGUAACUGACGCUGAGGAGCGAAAGCGUGGGGAGCGAACAGG
Molecule: ribosomal RNA, 253 nt
Filed under: uncultured bacterium
Lineage: Bacteria
Description: partial 16S ribosomal RNA
Rfam family: Bacterial small subunit ribosomal RNA
Source: RNAcentral